GGCUUCGUUGCUCAGCUGGUACAGCGCUUGCCGUGUUUAGGCAUGGCGUUUCUGUCGCUGGUUCGAAUCCAACCGAAGCUC
This 81-nucleotide transfer RNA is filed under the name Paragonimus skrjabini miyazakii. Its description in RNAcentral is "Paragonimus miyazakii tRNA-Asn". It matches the Rfam family "tRNA". Rfam says of the family: Transfer RNA (tRNA) molecules are approximately 80 nucleotides in length. Their secondary structure includes four short double-helical elements and three loops (D, anti-codon, and T loops). Lineage: Eukaryota; Metazoa; Platyhelminthes; Trematoda; Plagiorchiida; Troglotrematidae. The record is from RNAcentral.